CCUACGGGGGGCUGCAGUGGGGAAUAUUGGACAAUGGGCGAAAGCCUGAUCCAGCCAUGCCGCGUGUGUGAAGAAGGCCUUCGGGUUGUAAAGCACUUUCAGUGGGGAAGAAAGCCUUGGGGCUAAUACCCUCGAGGAAGGACAUCACCCACAGAAGAAGCACCGGCUAACUCCGUGCCAGCAGCCGCGGUAAUACGGAGGGUGCGAGCGUUGAUCGGAAUUACUGGGCGUAAAGCGCGCGUAGGCGGUCUGAUAAGCCGGUUGUGAAAGCCCCGGGCUCAACCUGGGAACGGCAUCCGGAACUGUCAGGCUAGAGUGCAGGAGAGGAAGGUAGAAUCCCCGGUGUAGCGGUGAAAUGCGUAGAGAUCGGGAGGAAUACCAGUGGCGAAGGCGGCCUUCUGGACUGACACUGACGCUGAGGUGCGAAAGCGUGGGUAGCAAACAGGAUUAGAUACCCGUGUAGUC
RNAcentral lists this ribosomal RNA (465 nucleotides) under Vreelandella stevensii. Its description in RNAcentral is "partial 16S ribosomal RNA". It matches the Rfam family "Bacterial small subunit ribosomal RNA", at positions 338 to 795 of the family's 1533-position model. Lineage: Bacteria; Pseudomonadati; Pseudomonadota; Gammaproteobacteria; Oceanospirillales; Halomonadaceae. The record is from RNAcentral.